UUACUCACCGGGGAUGAACAACUUUUGUCACGUGACCACAAAAGUCAACGCAGGUUGUUGAAUUACAUCAGGAAUCCCGCUCCGUCAGAAUGACACGAAAAAAGUCUCACCUCGGGCGGACCAAACGAAGGACUGGAUUGCAUCACACUUCUGAAUUCCUACCGCCAACAACCUCGCCUUUUCGAACAGCAAUGAAACGAAAAUUAACACCAAUGAAGUCUCCAAUUCAGCAACCCUUUCGAUCUCCUUUGUAUAAAGCAAAACGAAAAUCGCACCGAGAACUAUUUAAAGACAAUGAUAAUCGCGAUACUAACUGGGUUAUUGAUAUGAACUCUCAAAUUCAAAGUGACAACGCGCCAAAUCUUUCUAUGUUUAUGCAUUGAGGAGCUACCAAUAUUGGGGCCGUAUAAUAUGCUGCCUAUAUUGACGCUGUGGGAUGCUUCAUUUAACGAGGCCUACCGGUAUAUUCAACCUUUUUGGGGGAUUUGAAACAACAACAGACAUAUUGGAUCUAACUUUAUUUUGUUUGCUGUUAUUUGUUUCAAGUUUUAAAAUUACAGUUUCUAAAAAAUGCCAUGUAUCUUGUAUCUUGUUAAUUAAAAAAAAGGUAUCUUUCUUUUAGUUGCAUAAUGAUAAAUAAUGUGGACCUAUAAGGAGAGAGGUAUCAUGAAGCAAAUAAAACAAUCGAUUCCUCUUA
This is a long non-coding RNA of Dreissena polymorpha, 697 nucleotides long. RefSeq lists it as uncharacterized. The record is from RefSeq and is a predicted model, not a curated record. The transcript has 2 exons. NCBI's taxonomy places the organism in Eukaryota, Metazoa, Mollusca, Bivalvia, Myida, Dreissenidae.